RNAcentral lists this ribosomal RNA (501 nucleotides) under uncultured bacterium. Its description in RNAcentral is "bacterial SSU rRNA". It matches the Rfam family "Bacterial small subunit ribosomal RNA", at positions 28 to 521 of the family's 1533-position model. The record is from RNAcentral.
GACGAACGCUGGCGGCGUGGAUUAGGCAUGCAAGUCGAACGGUAUCAUCCUUUCGGGGGUGAGAGAGUGGCGAACUGGUGAGUAACACGUAGGUUAUCUACCCUCAAGACGGGGACAACCCAGGGAAACUUGGGCUAAUACCGGAUGUGAGCAACUUUUAGUUGUUUGAAAGGUGGCGUAAGCUGUCGCUUGGGGAUGAGCCUGCGUCCUAUUAGUUAGUUGGUGAGGUAACGGCUCACCUAGGCAAUGAUAGGUAGGCGGCCUUAACGGGUGGUCGCCCACACUGGGAUUGAGAUACGGCCCAGACUCCUACGGGAGGCAGCAGUCGAGAAUAGUCUACAAUGGACGGAAGUCUGAUAGUGCGACGCCGCGUGAACGAUGAAUCCCUUCGGGGUGUAAAGUUCUUUUAUAUGUGAGCAGUGCUUCUUAUAUUAACAGUAUGGGGAGAGAGAUAUUAGCAUAUGAAUAAGCAACGGCUAACUCCGUGCCAGCAGCCGCGGU